UGCGAUGAUGAUGAGAAUUAUAAUCUGAUUUUGAUAUGAGAACAAACCUUCUCAUCCAUUCAUAAUUAUUUUGAGC
Molecule: small nucleolar RNA, 76 nt
Organism: Rosa rugosa (rugosa rose)
Lineage: Eukaryota; Viridiplantae; Streptophyta; Magnoliopsida; Rosales; Rosaceae
Product: small nucleolar RNA U30
Exons: 1
Source: RefSeq, a predicted model, not a curated record